ACCUGGCUAGCUUAGUCAGCAGAGCAUGUGACUCUUGAUCUCAGGGUCAUGAGUUCAAGCCUCACACUGGGUG
RNAcentral lists this transfer RNA (73 nucleotides) under Canis lupus familiaris (dog). It matches the Rfam family "tRNA". Rfam says of the family: Transfer RNA (tRNA) molecules are approximately 80 nucleotides in length. Their secondary structure includes four short double-helical elements and three loops (D, anti-codon, and T loops). The record is from Rfam by way of RNAcentral. RNAcentral also lists the same sequence under 2 other names. Lineage: Eukaryota; Metazoa; Chordata; Mammalia; Carnivora; Canidae.